Molecule: ribosomal RNA, 339 nt
Filed under: Neocapritermes longinotus
Lineage: Eukaryota; Metazoa; Arthropoda; Insecta; Blattodea; Termitidae
Description: partial 12S ribosomal RNA
Source: RNAcentral
GUUAUGUUCUUGAAACUUAAAGAAUUUGGCGGUAUCUCAUUCCUUCCAGAGGAAUCUGUCUCGUUAUCGAUAGUCCGCGCUGGACCUUACUUAGAAUUUAUUGGUUUGUAUAUCGCCGUUUAUUGAUUAUCUUUUUAGAGUUUUUAAUUUUCUGGUUUCUUUAUUUUGGUUUAUUUCAGGUCAAGGUGCAGCUUGUUUUUAAGUGAAUGAUGGAUUACAUUGUUAUUUGUUUUUGGAUUGUUAGUUUUGAUAUUGAUAUGAAAUUGGAUUUGGUUGUAAUAAUUUGUAGAUUGUUAUUGUGAUAAGUGGUUCUGGGAUAUGCACACAUCGCCCGUCGCU